Molecule: ribosomal RNA, 253 nt
Filed under: uncultured bacterium
Lineage: Bacteria
Description: partial 16S ribosomal RNA
Rfam family: Bacterial small subunit ribosomal RNA
Source: RNAcentral
UACGUAGGGUGCAAGCGUUGUCCGGAAUUAUUGGGCGUAAAGAGCUCGUAGGCGGUUUGUCGCGUCUGCUGUGAAAACCCGAGGCUCAACCUCGGGCCUGCAGUGGGUACGGGCAGACUAGAGUGCGGUAGGGGAGAUUGGAAUUCCUGGUGUAGCGGUGGAAUGCGCAGAUAUCAGGAGGAACACCAAUGGCGAAGGCAGCUCACUGGGACGGUAUUGACGCUGAGACGCGAAAGCGUGGGGAGCAAACAGG